This 135-nucleotide ribosomal RNA is filed under the name uncultured eukaryote. RNAcentral describes it as "partial small subunit ribosomal RNA". The record is from RNAcentral.
GGUUCUCGCACUCGCCGACGUGUUCGUGUCGAGCGUCGGGCACAUGCUCGUCUUCCCUUUCCUCGCGUUCUACGCCACCGCCAGAUUCGAUGUCGGGAUGACGCAAGUCGGGCUCCUGUUCACGGCGAUGGCGGU